Molecule: non-coding RNA, 385 nt
Filed under: Nelumbo nucifera (sacred lotus)
Lineage: Eukaryota; Viridiplantae; Streptophyta; Magnoliopsida; Proteales; Nelumbonaceae
Description: Eukaryotic large subunit ribosomal RNA
Rfam family: Eukaryotic large subunit ribosomal RNA
Source: Rfam by way of RNAcentral
AUACAAACACAUGUUAAAUUUGAGUUUGGGUUUGGUUGAGCUGAAGGCUUGAGCUGCUCUCGCAACAAGAGCGAGUCAUCGCGUGCCACCCGGGCGAUAGACUAGGAACAGCUCACUCGGAGGCCUUUCUUGGGCAUCGAGCAACUGACUUAGAACUGGUACAGGCAAGGGGAAUCUGACUAUUUAAUUAAAACAAAGUAUUGCAAUGGUCCCUACGAAUGCUAAUACAAUGUGAUUUAUGUCUUUCUAAAUGUCAAAGUGAAGAAAUUCAACCAACUGCGGGUAAACGAUGGGAGUAAUUAUGACUCUCUUAAGGUAGCCAAAUGCCUUGUGUCUUGUUAUCUAAUUAUUGAUGCACAUGAAUGGAUUAACGAGAUUCCCAUUG